AUCUGAUGUUAAAGGCGUUCAUUUAUUCCAUUAGCCAAAGAAAACCCAUUUAUUUGAAGUCGUCAAUUAGCAAAGGUCAACUCUCUCUCUCUCCCUCCCCCACCUACUUUUCUAUUGGCUUUCCAUAUGGUGGGACUUCAAUCCUUUUCUUGUGUUUGAUAAGUUUCGGAUAAACCGGUAUAUGGGGAAGGGUGUACCUUCAAAGUCAGAAAAAAAGAAUAAAUUACUGAAAAAUAUUCGGAGUCCAACAUACAAUUUGUGAACCUAAACAUUGUUUAAUUGGUUAAAAAGAAAAGAUAUUCAAAUUUUCGUCCAAUUGAGAUUUUAUUAUCUUCUUCCAAUUUUUUGUUGGAAAAUUCUCCCUUUCUCUCUCUCCCUCUCUCUCUCCCUCUCUCUCUCUCCCCCUUCCCUCGUAUUUGACCAGUGAUGAAGAUGAAAAACGAGAGAUUUGAUUCGAAAAAAGUCUCGACUUUCACAAGUCAAGAGAGAAAAUGAUGAAUUUUCCACCACUAACCUCCAAGGGUCUUUUCCCGUGAUUUAAACUCCCAUUGCUUCUUCGAUCUUCUGGCCGCCAUGGAAAAGCCUCCUUCCAGUUUCGUGAUAAGCUUUUCCAUUGUCGCCGUCCUCACCCUCGCCUCCUUCGCAUCAUGUAUGGCUGCUGAAUUCAACAGAACAAAAGUAAAAAAAGGACCUGAAGUUGAACGGCAGAUUCUGCUUCCUGCCUGAAAGUGAAGCAUUCAAAUUGGGAGUCGCAGGUAUAGUCUGUUUAAUAAUGGCUCAUAUCAUCGGAAACACCAUAAUCUGCCACACCUAUUGGCCAAAAGAGCACAGAAAGAGUUGCAGUGUCAAAAGGCCUCUGCUUUCAACCACCCUUCUCAUUUCUUGGGUCAGCUUCGGAAUUGCGGUGGCGAUGAUGAUGGGAGCAACCAGCAUGAGCAGGAGACAGGAGUAUGGGAAGGGGUGGGUGGAAGGAGAAUGCUAUUUGGUCAAAGACGGAGUAUUUGUUGGCGCGGCCCUCUUGGUUCUCAUUAAUGGAGGGUCCACCAUAGGUUCGGCUGCCAUUGGAAGGAGGCGGCGCGCUAAAGGGCCCAAUCAAGUACAUGCACAAAUUGGAUAACAAGACUGGUUAUACAUCAUCAAAAUAUUUCCCUUCUUUUUUCCUUUUUGCAUUUAUUGUAUGAUGAAUAAUGAAAAUGCCUCAUAUUCCCACUUAUAGUUCUUAAUUUAUUUUUCUUGUCCU
Cucurbita pepo subsp. pepo (vegetable marrow) is the source of this 1240-nucleotide non-coding RNA. The record is from RefSeq and is a predicted model, not a curated record. NCBI's taxonomy places the organism in Eukaryota, Viridiplantae, Streptophyta, Magnoliopsida, Cucurbitales, Cucurbitaceae.